Triticum aestivum (bread wheat) is the source of this 115-nucleotide non-coding RNA. The record is from Rfam. Lineage: Eukaryota; Viridiplantae; Streptophyta; Magnoliopsida; Poales; Poaceae.
CUCCUACUCCCUCUGUUCCAAAUUACUCGUAGCAAAAAAGGAUGUAUCUAGAACUAAAAUACAUCUAGAUACAUCCAUACCUGCGACAUGUAAUUUGGAAUGGAGGGAGUAGAUU